RNAcentral lists this ribosomal RNA (576 nucleotides) under uncultured marine eukaryote. RNAcentral describes it as "SSU rRNA". It matches the Rfam family "Eukaryotic small subunit ribosomal RNA", at positions 610 to 1199 of the family's 1831-position model. The record is from RNAcentral.
UUGUUGCAGUUAAAAAGCUCGUAGUCGGAUUUCAGUAUUAGGCCCUUCUUCCAAUACGGUUGCUAGUGGUCUUUACUUCCUUAACAGAAUCUUUCAUCUCAUUAAUUUGGGGUGUUUGGGGCCUGUUUCUUUUACUUUGAGAAAAUUAGAGUGUUCAAAGCGGGUUUUCGCCUGGAUAUUACUCUUGGAAUAAUAAUAUAGGACUUUGGUUCUUUUUUGUUGGUGACUUAGAACCGAAGUAAUGAUUGGUAGGGACAGUUGGGGUCAUUCGUACUAUGAAGCGAGAGGUGAAAUUCAUGGACCUUUGUAUGACGAACUACUGCGAAAGCAUUUGACUAGGAUGUUCCCGUUGAUCAAGAACGAAAGUUGGGGGAUCGAAGACGAUCAGAUACCGUCGUAGUCUCAACCAUAAACUAUGCCAGCUAGGGAUUGGAGGAAGAUCAUUUUACGUCUCCUUCAGCACCUUAUGAGAAAUCAAAGCCUUUGGGUUCCGGGGGGAGUAUGGUCGCAAGGCAGAAACUUAAAGGAGUUGACGGGAGGGCACCACCAGGAGUGGAGCCUGCGGCUUAAUUUGAU